This 742-nucleotide ribosomal RNA is filed under the name Enterobacter kobei. RNAcentral's name for it is "bacterial SSU rRNA". It matches the Rfam family "Bacterial small subunit ribosomal RNA", at positions 8 to 740 of the family's 1533-position model. Lineage: Bacteria; Pseudomonadati; Pseudomonadota; Gammaproteobacteria; Enterobacterales; Enterobacteriaceae. The record is from RNAcentral.
AGAGUUUGAUCCUGGCUCAGAUUGAACGCUGGCGGCAGGCCUAACACAUGCAAGUCGAGCGGUAGCACAGAGAGCUUGCUCUCGGGUGACGAGCGGCGGACGGGUGAGUAAUGUCUGGGAAACUGCCUGAUGGAGGGGGAUAACUACUGGAAACGGUAGCUAAUACCGCAUAAUGUCGCAAGACCAAAGAGGGGGACCUUCGGGCCUCUUGCCAUCAGAUGUGCCCAGAUGGGAUUAGCUAGUAGGUGGGGUAACGGCUCACCUAGGCGACGAUCCCUAGCUGGUCUGAGAGGAUGACCAGCCACACUGGAACUGAGACACGGUCCAGACUCCUACGGGAGGCAGCAGUGGGGAAUAUUGCACAAUGGGCGCAAGCCUGAUGCAGCCAUGCCGCGUGUAUGAAGAAGGCCUUCGGGUUGUAAAGUACUUUCAGCGGGGAGGAAGGUGUUGUGGUUAAUAACCACAGCAAUUGACGUUACCCGCAGAAGAAGCACCGGCUAACUCCGUGCCAGCAGCCGCGGUAAUACGGAGGGUGCAAGCGUUAAUCGGAAUUACUGGGCGUAAAGCGCACGCAGGCGGUCUGUCAAGUCGGAUGUGAAAUCCCCGGGCUCAACCUGGGAACUGCAUUCGAAACUGGCAGGCUAGAGUCUUGUAGAGGGGGGUAGAAUUCCAGGUGUAGCGGUGAAAUGCGUAGAGAUCUGGAGGAAUACCGGUGGCGAAGGCGGCCNUNNNGGACAAAGAC